GAUGAAGAACGUAGCGAAAUGCGAUAAGUAAUGUGAAUUGCAGAAUUCAGUGAAUCAUCGAGUCUUUGAACGCACAUUGCGCCCCCUGGUAUUCCGGGGGGCAUGUCUGUCCGAGCGUCAUUGCUGCCCUCAAGCACGGCUUGUGUGUUGGGCCGCCGUCCCCGGUUUCCCCCGGGGACGGGCCCGAAAGGCAGCGGCGGCACCGCGUCCGAUCCUCGAGCGUAUGGGGCUUUGUCACCCGCUCUGUAGGCCCGGCCGGCGCCAGCCGACACCCAACUUUAUUUCUAAGGUUGACCUCGGAUCAGGUAGGGAUACCCGCUGAACUUAAGCAUAUCAAUAAGCGGAGGA
RNAcentral lists this unclassified non-coding RNA (348 nucleotides) under soil metagenome. RNAcentral describes it as "partial contains 5.8S ribosomal RNA, internal transcribed spacer 2, and large subunit ribosomal RNA". The stretch from base 1 to 120 matches the Rfam family "5.8S ribosomal RNA", at positions 35 to 154 of the family's 154-position model. The record is from RNAcentral.